UGAGGAAUUUUGCGCAAUGGGAGCAAUCCUGACGCAGCAACGCCGCGUGGGUGAUGAAGGCCUUCGGGUCGUAAAGCCCUGUCAGGUGGGAAGAAUGUCCCGGGACUGAACAGGUUCCGGGAGUGACGGUACCACCAGAGGAAGCACCGGCUAACUCCGUGCCAGCAGCCGCGGUAAUACGGAGGGUGCAAGCGUUAUUCGGAAUUACUGGGCGUAAAGCGCGUGUAGGCGGUCCUGCAAGUCUGAUGUGAAAGCCCCGGGCUUAACCCGGGAAGUGCAUUGGAAACUGUGGGACUUGAGUACUGGAGAGGAUGGGGGAAUUGCCGGUGUAGAGGUGAAAUUCGUAGAGGUCGGGGGGAAUAUCAGUGGCGAAGGCGCCCAUCUGGACGUUAACUGACGCUGAGGCGCGAAAGCGUGGGGAGCAAGCA
This 428-nucleotide ribosomal RNA is filed under the name uncultured prokaryote. RNAcentral's name for it is "bacterial SSU rRNA". It matches the Rfam family "Bacterial small subunit ribosomal RNA", at positions 355 to 774 of the family's 1533-position model. The record is from RNAcentral.